Molecule: ribosomal RNA, 465 nt
Filed under: uncultured Klebsiella sp.
Lineage: Bacteria; Pseudomonadati; Pseudomonadota; Gammaproteobacteria; Enterobacterales; Enterobacteriaceae
Description: bacterial SSU rRNA
Rfam family: Bacterial small subunit ribosomal RNA
Source: RNAcentral
CCUACGGGCGGCUGCAGUGGGGAAUAUUGCACAAUGGGCGCAAGCCUGAUGCAGCCAUGCCGCGUGUGUGAAGAAGGCCUUCGGGUUGUAAAGCACUUUCAGCGGGGAGGAAGGCGUUAAGGUUAAUAACCUUGUCGAUUGACGUUACCCGCAGAAGAAGCACCGGCUAACUCCGUGCCAGCAGCCGCGGUAAUAUGGAGGGUGCAAGCGUUAAUCGGAAUUACUGGGCGUAAAGCGCACGCAGGCGGUCUGUCAAGUCGGAUGUGAAAUCCCCGGGCUCAACCUGGGAACUGCAUUCGAAACUGGCAGGCUAGAGUCUUGUAGGGGGGGGUAGAAUUCCAGGUGUAGCGGUGAAAUGCGUAGAGAUCUGGAGGAAUACCGGUGGCGAAGGCGGCCCCCUGGACAAAGACUGACGCUCAGGUGCGAAAGCGUGGGGAGCAAACAGGAUUAGAUACCCCAGUAGUC